UUUUCAUGUACUGAUGUCUGAGUAUUCUGGUACAACAUGCUAGAAGGCCUUUCUCCAACCACGAAGCAUCUUGGAGCCUUAUAAGAAACAAUUGCCUGCAUUUGUGCAGCUGUGUCUCUGGAGGAGGUGUUCUGUCUAUUAAGCAGACUACGCACAUCGUUUCACCAGUCUGUACUGCUGCACGUCCUGUAGCUUCAGAGUAAGCCCUGGAACAGGGUAUCACAUAGUUCCUGAUCUUAGUGCUUCCCCAGCUGUUGGGAUUAUAAUGGGGUCCCAGCAACAUGAGAAUGAAGAACCAAUAAACAGAAGAGAAAUCUACUUUAAAAGGUUUAAACAGCACAUGGAAGAGCACACUCAUCAAGGCUACCACUUCUUGAGGCUUCCUGAGAAGUAUUUAUGCUUAAAUGUGUGACUGAACAUAUCACCGCCUGUCCUGACACCCAAAGAGACCCCCUCAAAGUUCUCAUGUCUGAGUGAGGGAACAGCAUCAUUCUGGACAUCAAGGACUUUCUAUGGACUUUACUCAUCCUGUCUCUGACUUAAGUGUUUUUGCUUAGGUUCUCCAAGAAUAGAUUAAAUCUACAGGUCUGAGAACUUUGUGGAAAAGCAUGUUUGAGAAAGGGGAGGGAAGGAGCUAGGAGAGAUUGACUGCUCUGGAUAAGAUAGGAAUGGUUGGGUGGGAUCAAUCUUUACAUAUAAUACAGCUUCAAGAAAAUCCGCAGGGGGAAUACCUUAGCCAGGGCUACCCACUAAAUGCACCCUCAUCUACUAAGAAGGAGCCUGACCUAGUGAGAACAUGAUUGGGAAGGAAGUGUGAUUGGGCAUGAAUGCUAGGACCUAAUGUCACAGCAGCUACUUAAGGUCUUCAAUCAAUGAUGCCUCCUGCAGACAGAGACCUAGAAAGGAUGCAUUCCUGUGUUUUACCUACUAGUCAUGAGAAGAAUACCAGAGAAGUUUAAUAUGAAUAAUAAUUAACAUCUAAUGUAGAAGAUGCUAAAAUAUAUAAAUACAACUCUCCUAAAGCUUAGGGAGAAUACCAAAGGAAGAUAAAAUCAUGGAGAGGUGUGAAGUUUGCAGAUGCAUGGUUCCAACACUGACACUGGGACAUUUGCUGCUUUGCUGGGGCUUGGGCUGAUAUGAACUGACAACAAGCAGAAAUCAGUCCUUUGGGAUACACCAGAUACCAUUGUGUGAGUGUGCAGAGGAACAGCAGAUGAGAGCAAUCUUCACAGGGACCUAGAGAGGGAUUUGAGAUAUCCUGGCCAAUGGGGUGCUGAUUUCUAUUGAGAGAUCACAGAAAAGCCACUAGGCUGGACUGGAAUUCCAAACACAAAGCUGUGUUAAAGCUUCAAUAGGUCCCUCACCUCAUCCCACAAGUCCACUACCUUCCAGUGAGGCCUUUAUCCUGCUGUAUGCCUGCUCUGCAGUGAAGAGUGUGAACAUGGCGGCCACUGUGAAGAAAAGAUGUGAGGGAAACUACCCAUUACAUCAGAGCCAGAGGGAAAGGUGACCUUGGAGCUCACAGGAAACACUAAUCACUAGGAUAAGUGGUUGCCUCAGAAACCCUUUGAAGUUAGUACUUUCCUUUAGUACUUUGCUUUGGCAAACAAGAAAAAUAUUAACUCUACUCAAUUCAAUUAAUUUUAACAAAUGGAUAAAACUAGAGAUAUAUAGAAUUAAAAUAGAACAGUCAUACAGUUGUAAUUACUAUAUACUCCCUGUACAGAAAGCUCCUUUUUCUUAUAAGUGUACCUCGUAAUGAUAUAAUAAAAGCAAAAAGUCAAUUACAAACCCAUAGAACUAAACUUAAAUUAUAUGGGCCUGAAUGGACAACUUUGAGAUGAAUUACUUUCAUGGAAAAGGUAAUUGAAUAAAAAUUAUUUUCAGGAUAUACACCAAAAAUCUAAAUAUACAAUGUUUCAUAGAAGAAAGAGGGACAAUUGCUUCUUUAAUAGAGUAGAAAGCUGAGGUUCGGGGAUAGUGAGGAGCUUGCCGGUCGCAUAUUUAGCAGGUGGAAGAGCUGCAGUUACAAACAGAAGCCUCUACAACUCCAGAGCUGCCCUUGACAAACAUCCUGUGUUGCCAUGAUGAGUCCCCACUGGCCUUUCCCAAUGGCUGGAAGAUUUCCCUAGAGAGUCCCUGGGGUUUGCUAGUACGCCAUCAAAGCAAUCUUUAAUUUGGUUUCUCAGUGUGGAACAGGCCGAAGAUGUUUCUCCCUCCUGUCCUGUAACGGUUCAGCUCUGCCAAGAAGACAGGGGUGGGAUUUUCACUGGAUGUGAAGAAAAGAAGCCUGCUUUGUAAAAGUGAGUCAAGGAUGAAGUCACUGGAAUGCAUGGGUAUGAAGAGCACAAGGACUCUGUGGCCACUCGGCCUGUAGGACUGGAAAGAACGAUGGUUCCUCCACAGAGAUCCUCACAGCUCUGCUCCUUUAUCUCCUCGAGGCUAAUUAUGAAGAACAAGCUGUAGCAAAGCCAGAUUUCUGCUUGAAGGGUCCAGGAAUAUAGAAAUAUACAAUUGUAAACCUAGUAAAAUAAAAGCUGACAGUCAUCAGUUACAAAGGUUAACUUCCAACAAUGGCUUUCUGCUUACAACCAGCUCCUCUGUCAACAGCCAGGGGUUAACUUUUAACCCCUUUCCCCAAUAGCCAACAACUGCCUGGACCAAAGUUAACUUUCCAUAGAUGCUUCUAUAUGACUCCUAGCAUGCACCCCAUGCCUGACGUUUUCUCCCUUACUAUAAAAAGGAGGCCAGAACCUGCCUCCAUUGCCACAGCCUCAGAAUCCUGAACACUGGCUGUGGUCUCAGGUAACUAAUGAGCUUUUGUGCCUCGUGGUGAUUUUUUUCUUUUCUUUUCUUUUUUUUUUCUGGAAUAAAGUCUGUUUCUGGU
This is a non-coding RNA of Peromyscus maniculatus bairdii (prairie deer mouse), 2887 nucleotides long. The record is from RefSeq and is a predicted model, not a curated record. Lineage: Eukaryota; Metazoa; Chordata; Mammalia; Rodentia; Cricetidae.